GAUGAAGAACGUAGCAAAAUGCGAUAAGUAAUGUGAAUUGCAGAAUUCAGUGAAUCAUCGAAUCUUUGAACGCACAUUGCGCCCGCCAGUAUUCUGGCGGGCAUGCCUGUCUGAGCGUCAUUUCAACCCUCAUGCCCCUAGGGCGUGGUGUUGGGGAUCGGCCAAAGCCCGCGAGGGACGGCCGGCCCCUAAAUCUAGUGGCGGACCCGUCGUGGCCUCCUCUGCGAAGUAGUGAUAUUCCGCAUCGGAGAGCGAUGAGCCCCUGCCGUUAAACCCCCAACUUUCCAAGGUUGACCUCAGAUCAGGUAGGAAUACCCGCUGAACUUAAGCAUAUCAAUAAGCGGAGA
Molecule: unclassified non-coding RNA, 347 nt
Filed under: soil metagenome
Description: partial contains 5.8S ribosomal RNA, internal transcribed spacer 2, and large subunit ribosomal RNA
Rfam family: 5.8S ribosomal RNA (bases 1-120)
Source: RNAcentral